UAAUACGAAGGGGGCUAGCGUUGCUCGGAAUUACUGGGCGUAAAGCGCACGUAGGCGGUCUUUUAAGUCGGGGGUGAAAUCCUGGAGCUCAACUCCAGAACUGCCUUCGAUACUGGAAGACUUGAGUCCGGGAGAGGUGAGUGGAACUGCGAGUGUAGAGGUGAAAUUCGUAGAUAUUCGCAAGAACACCAGUGGCGAAGGCGGCUCACUGGCCCGGUACUGACGCUGAGGUGCGAAAGCGUGGGGAGCAAACAGG
RNAcentral lists this ribosomal RNA (256 nucleotides) under uncultured bacterium. RNAcentral's name for it is "partial 16S ribosomal RNA". It matches the Rfam family "Bacterial small subunit ribosomal RNA", at positions 521 to 776 of the family's 1533-position model. The record is from RNAcentral.